This 202-nucleotide ribosomal RNA is filed under the name uncultured bacterium. RNAcentral's name for it is "partial 16S ribosomal RNA". It matches the Rfam family "Bacterial small subunit ribosomal RNA", at positions 524 to 722 of the family's 1533-position model. The record is from RNAcentral.
UACGUAGGUGGCAAGCGUUGUCCGGAUUUACUGGGCGUAAAGGAUGCGUAGGCGGACAUUUUAAGUCAGAUGUGAAAUACCCGAGCUUAACUUUGGGUGCUGCAUUUGAAACUGGGUGUCUAGAGUGCAGGAGAGGUAAGUGAAUUCCUAGUGUGCGGUGAAAUGCGUAGAGAGUUAGGAAGAACAUCCAGCUGGCGAAGGC